UGGGGAAUAUUGCACAAUGGGCGAAAGCCUGAUGCAGCAACGCCGCGUGAAGGAAGAAGGUCUUCGGAUUGUAAACUUCUAUCAGUAGGGAAGAAAAGAAACCAUAGGUUUCUCUGACGGUACCUAACUAAGAAGCUCCGGCUAACUACGUGCCAGCAGCCGCGGUAAUACGUGGGGAGCAAGCGUUAUCCGGAUUUACUGGGUGUAAAGGGUGCGUAGGCGGCCACCUAAGUCUAAAGUGAAAUUUCGGGGCUCAACCCCGGAGCUGCUUUGGAAACUGGGAGGCUAGAGUAUAGGAGAGGAAAGCGGAACUCCACGUGUAGCGGUGAAAUGCGUAGAGAUGUGGAGGAACACCAGUAGCGAAGGCGGCUUUCUGGACUAUUACUGACGCUGAGGCACGAAAGCGUGGGGAGCAAACAGGAUUAGAUACCCUGGU
This 436-nucleotide ribosomal RNA is filed under the name uncultured Lachnospiraceae bacterium. RNAcentral describes it as "bacterial SSU rRNA". It matches the Rfam family "Bacterial small subunit ribosomal RNA", at positions 355 to 791 of the family's 1533-position model. Lineage: Bacteria; Bacillati; Bacillota; Clostridia; Lachnospirales; Lachnospiraceae. The record is from RNAcentral.